GUUUCUACUUUGUGCCUGUGACUGCCCUGGACAUUGAGAUCCAGACGUAAAGACACAAUGACUGUUCUUGAGGUCGCCUCCAAAGUGUUCAGAUGUCCAGUGCUGUUGCCAGGCAGACUUGUUACUGACACAAAUUUUCCUCCCUGAUAAGUUGAACUCUCCCCCCUCCCAACUUCAUUAUGCCUGCUGCCGGAGCUCUGCUAUAGAGGAAGCCAUGCCAGACACUGUGAUUCACGUGCCUAAAAUAUCAACUGGCCUGAGUAUGCGAGUGAGGCGAUAAAUCUGGAAAACAUAAAUCAGAUCAUCAGAUGCUGUAUCUGUUCCUGCACACAGGCUGCAGCAGCCAUGGCAAAAUGCCCUCCAACUCUGAGAGCUACACCCAGGUGGAGGUUAAAGGAUAUGACUUACAGACCAAGGAAAGCUGGGUGAGGAGGGCCAGAGCUGAUAUGCAGAAGAGGCCUUAAAACCACUGACAUUCAGCACAGACACCAGACAUGAGACUGGAUUCAGCCUCUAAGACUGCAGGGAGAGGCUGGACAAGGAAGCAUAAAGAGAGGUCCCAAAAUCUUCUAAAGUAAAGAACUUGGGCCAAUGUGUAGUCCCUGAAUCUGGACAUGAGAGAGAAGACAGGCUUCAGCUUCACUAGGAACUCUGUCAAGAUGGAAAAUAGAAUUUACAGACUCUGGUAGGUGGAGAGCCUCCUUAAAGAACACUCUAGAAAAAAACAACCAACACUGCCCUUCCUUUAGUGAACAGAGAAAAGUGCUCCCAUUGAGCCACUUAAUCAUUCCAAAGCACAGAAGAGAAGGGCCUUAUCUCUGUAGCUGAGGCUAGGCCAUCAGAUCACAGGCUUUCUUGACCUGGGCCUGGGGACAGCUGGCUUGUUCACAAAUGACAGUGCUCCUCCGGGUCUGACAUGCCAGGAUUACUAGUUCCAAAGUAGUUUUGGAACCGUAGGAAAGUAAGGAGGGUUCAUAGUUCAAAUUUCUAAACCUCAAACCCUGCUUUGUCAGGGUUAGGUCCUGCUGCAUCAAUAUGACUCUACCCAAAAAUCACAUCAGACCCUCUGGGGCUUUGUGCCUGGGGAUGCGGGAGAAUGACUGGGAGUAGACAGGAAACAGACAUAGGAUGAGGUGGAGCUGGGAGCAGCAUUGGAUAUCCAUUUAAGGAAGUUAAGCAGCGAUCCAGGUUCCACCCCAAAAUGUCCAAGAGUUACACCCUAGGGAGCAAAGGAAGACCCAUGAGUGGAUUGAAAGGCUCCACCUGACAUCAUGGUAUCAGAUGAAUAUGGCCAGUGCACCUGUCUCCAGGCAUCAGCCAGUGAGAACAUCUCAAUGCACCACAAGGUGAAAUGCUGAGAAAUUCAUUGUAGCUUAUCUCUUUUGCUACUAUGACCUGUCAGCAAAAACAAUGGAAAGAUAAUUUUCCCCUUUCCCUUCCAGCAAAGGCAGCCAGGGCUUUGUGUUCCCAGACCUGGGUGCCUUGACCCCAGGCAGGGAAUUUCCAGCUAUUUGUGAAUCAGGCCCACCUGGGGGAAUUAAGGAGGCUUCCAAGAAGGGAGAGGGGUAAGGUAUAGAAGUUUUUGUUCUUUGUGAGUAACAGCAUGCCAGGGCCUGACCCUGAGGAGGUGGUUGGAUCCUGGGAACUUGGAAAACAAGAAAGGGUAAGUUUGUGGGAUUCUUCAGAUAGUCUGUCCCCUAAACUUUGUGACCCAGCCAGAUAAGAGAUGGGUGUGAAUGUUUAAUGAUCUUAGACAUUGUGGCUUUGGGAGCAGGAUUAAGUGUUCUCUUAGGGUGCCUGGGGAUGUGGAGAGGAGCCUCAAAGGCCAUCUUUGUGGUUGCCUGGAGCAGAAAUACCCAACAGAGGCAGGGACCUUCCUUUAGUGAACAGAGAAAAGUGCUUCCAUUGAGCCACCUAAUCAUUCCAACACAUGUGUCAUGUCAACACAUGACAGAGACUUCAAAGAGAAGAAACAGCCACAUGACAAGAAUGACCCAACUGAUGGACAAUAAGCUGCCGAAUGAGUUAACCUUGAUGAUCCGCCAGGUCCAAGACUUAUAAUUCUACAUGGCCUCUGUCUCCUCUUUGCAAGCUGAUCACGAUGCAGAAUGACUGACGCAGCACCCAUGAACUUCCAGAUCACAAGCAUGCUCUGUUCUCCUUCCUACCUGGGCUGGGGUGACAGUUGUACAGCUGUGCACCAUCUGAGUGCCACCAUCUAGUGAUAAGUCCAUGAGUGUGGAUACUAGGGGAAGACAUGGGUUGCAGAUUGGCCAGGUCUAAGGCGCUGACAAGAAACAUUACAAGAGCUUUAGAUUUAACUUUAAAAGCUUCUAUUCCUUUCAUUGUCAGACUGUGAAGCCCACAGCUGCACAUCAUCAGGCACCAACAUGCAGGGGGCCAUUUCCUUGUUUGCACAGGAAGCUCCUGCAUACUCUGUAUUGCUCUAGAGUCACACCACUGAGCCGGCCAAGGUCUCGACUCUGGCCCUGACACGUGGCUGGCUUUGACUUUGCUUUCUGAGUUCAGCUCAUUUCCUGGGUCAUCUCCCCAGUAAAGACAGCACUGCCUCAUCAAGGCAGGUGCUCAUCUGGUCAUGCUCAAAGUCCCUCGAUGCCCUAUGACUGGUCAGCGGUCUCAGGGGAUGAGAUGUGUGGGUGUCAGUUGGCUUCCUCGUGUCCCAGUGCUGUCCCCUUCACCUCUCUUUAUCCCACUUUCUAAUGUUCACCCUCUCUUCUCCAUUAGUAAACUCCCAAGACUUCUUUAAGGUCGACCUUAAACACCCUUCUCUGGGAUCCUUCCCAAAACCCCAGGCAGAACUCACUGCUUCUACCUCUACCCUUGGUCCGUGAUUUUAUUUCAUUGUAGAUUAUAGUUAAUUGCUU
Homo sapiens (human) is the source of this 2885-nucleotide long non-coding RNA. The record is from Ensembl. Lineage: Eukaryota; Metazoa; Chordata; Mammalia; Primates; Hominidae.